GACGAACGCUGGCGGCGUGCUUAACACAUGCAAGUCGAACGGAAAGGCCCUGCUUUUGUGGGGUGCUCGAGUGGCGAACGGGUGAGUAACACGUGAGUAACCUGCCCCUGACUUUGGGAUAACUUCAGGAAACUGGGGCUAAUACCGGAUAGGAGCUCCUGCUGCAUGGUGGGGGUGGGAAAGUUUCGGCGGUUGGGGAUGGACUCGCGGCUUAUCAGCUUGUUGGUGGGGUAGUGGCUUACCAAGGCUUUGACGGGUAGCCGGCCUGGGAGUGGGACCGGCCACAUUGGGACUGGGAUACGGCCCAGACUCCUACGGGAGGAAGCAGUGGGGAAUAUUGCACAAUGGGCGGAAGCCUGAUGCAGCAACGCCGCGUGCGGGAUGACGGCCUUCGGGUUGUAACCCGCUUUCGCCUGUGACGAGGCGUGAGUGACGGUAAUGGGUAAAGAAGCACCGGCUAACUACGUG
RNAcentral lists this ribosomal RNA (468 nucleotides) under uncultured bacterium. Its description in RNAcentral is "partial 16S ribosomal RNA". It matches the Rfam family "Bacterial small subunit ribosomal RNA", at positions 28 to 507 of the family's 1533-position model. The record is from RNAcentral.